Molecule: ribosomal RNA, 696 nt
Filed under: Streptomyces roseoverticillatus
Lineage: Bacteria; Bacillati; Actinomycetota; Actinomycetes; Kitasatosporales; Streptomycetaceae
Description: bacterial SSU rRNA
Rfam family: Bacterial small subunit ribosomal RNA
Source: RNAcentral
UUAACACAUGCAAGUCGAACGAUGAAGCCCUUCGGGGUGGAUUAGUGGCGAACGGGUGAGUAACACGUGGGCAAUCUGCCCUGCACUCUGGGACAAGCCCUGGAAACGGGGUCUAAUACCGGAUAYGACCUNUNAAGGCAUCUYNNNGGUGGAAAGCUCCGGCGGUGCAGGAUGAGCCCGCGGCCUAUCAGCUUGUUGGUGGGGUGAUGGCCUACCAAGGCGACGACGGGUAGCCGGCCUGAGAGGGCGACCGGCCACACUGGGACUGAGACACGGCCCAGACUCCUACGGGAGGCAGCAGUGGGGAAUAUUGCACAAUGGGCGAAAGCCUGAUGCAGCGACGCCGCGUGAGGGAUGACGGCCUUCGGGUUGUAAACCUCUUUCAGCAGGGAAGAAGCGAAAGUGACGGUACCUGCAGAAGAAGCGCCGGCUAACUACGUGCCAGCAGCCGCGGUAAUACGUAGGGCGCAAGCGUUGUCCGGAAUUAUUGGGCGUAAAGAGCUCGUAGGCGGCUUGUCACGUCGGAUGUGAAAGCCCGGGGCUUAACCCCGGGUCUGCAUUCGAUACGGGCAGGCUAGAGUUCGGUAGGGGAGAUCGGAAUUCCUGGUGUAGCGGUGAAAUGCGCAGAUAUCAGGAGGAACACCGGUGGCGAAGGCGGAUCUCUGGGCCGAUACUGACGCUGAGGAGCGAAAGCGU